AGUUUGAGUUUCAAGCGAAAAAAAAUCAUUUUUCAGCAUAAGUAAAUGCAGUAUUUGGGACAUACUUAUAAUAAAAAUGAUUCAUGGUAUAUUUGAAAUUCAGAUUUAACU
RNAcentral lists this microRNA precursor (111 nucleotides) under Echinops telfairi (small Madagascar hedgehog). RNAcentral's name for it is "miRNA (ENSETEG00000023893.1)". Lineage: Eukaryota; Metazoa; Chordata; Mammalia; Afrosoricida; Tenrecidae. The record is from RNAcentral.